This 99-nucleotide ribosomal RNA is filed under the name Eimeria cylindrica. Its description in RNAcentral is "partial 28S rRNA". It matches the Rfam family "Eukaryotic large subunit ribosomal RNA", at positions 1 to 97 of the family's 3401-position model. The record is from RNAcentral. Lineage: Eukaryota; Apicomplexa; Conoidasida; Eucoccidiorida; Eimeriidae.
CUAGACCUGAAAUCAGCCGAGGAUACCCGCUGAAUUUAAGCAUAUUAUUAAGCGGAGGAAAAGAAAAUAACUAUGAUUCCCUUAGUAACGGCGAGUGAA